Molecule: ribosomal RNA, 407 nt
Filed under: uncultured bacterium
Lineage: Bacteria
Description: partial 16S ribosomal RNA
Rfam family: Bacterial small subunit ribosomal RNA
Source: RNAcentral
AUUGAACGCUGGCGGCAGGCCUAACACAUGCAAGUCGAGCGGAGCGGCGGACGGGUGAGUAAUGCCUAGGAAUCUGCCUGGUAGUGGGGGAUAACGUCCGGAAACGGGCGCUAAUACCGCAUACUAUCAGAUGAGACUAGGUCGGAUUAGCUAGUUGGUGGGGUAAAGGCCUACCAAGGCGACGAUCCGUAACUGGUCUGAGAGGAUGAUCAGUCACAGUGGAACGGAGACACGGUCCAGACUCCGACGGGAGGCAGCAGUGGGGAAUAUUGGACAAUGGGCGAAAGCCUGAGCCAGCAAUGCCGCGUGUAUGAAGAAGGCCUUCGGGUUGUAAAGUACUUUCAGCGGGGCGGCGUUACCCGCAGAAGAAGCACCGGCUAACUCCGUUCCAGCAGCCGCGUUAAUAC